AGAAAAACAUAUUAUUCAAGUCGACUUAUCAAUGAUUUAAGGUGCCUUUCAAUACACCUAUGAAUACCCUACCCCUUGAGCCUUCUACUUGGGGAUCUCUGACCAUGGUGAUGAGGUGUUCAGCUUAAGAGGAAUGGUACUCAAGGUGCUACAUUUAAAGAACUACACCUGAGGAACUUCAUCCAGAUCUCAACAUGAUUUAAAUGAUGACACUCAGGAUUUCAACUAAAUAUUGUGAUUGAUGGGGCUUUUGUGACCUUUUCUAGGGAUGAAAGUAUUUUAAUUGUGGGAAAAAUGUAUAUGCUAUAUGUUCAGAGUGUAGAGUGUGUUUGUUUAAAAAAAUUUCUACGAAGUUUUUGAUAUUCUUCCCCUCAAAAGGUGGAAGAAUUAUUAAUUCUUAAUUUCUGUUAUCUGGCUUCUUAAUUAUGAAGCAUUUAAAGAAUUGCUUCAUAAUACAGUAUAGAUGACACAAUAUUACAAACUUAAACAUCAUAUUAAUAACAACAUUAAACUAUAUCAAUAAUUAUAUGUAAAGUAACUAAUAACUCCAAUUAGUCAUCAGUAAAAUGAAAGCUGAAAUCACUUCAUCCCAAUAAAAUGGUUAAAAUUCAAAAGACUGGAAAUACUAAAAUUCAAAGACUAAUUACAUGUCACAUUUGAGACUAGAUUACAAAAUGACUACUAUUUUUAUCAUUCUGUGUGUGUGUGUGUGUGUGUGUGUGUGUGUGUGUGUUUAUGUGUCUAUCUCCUUCUUUCCUGUAUUACUCAUUGUAG
Molecule: long non-coding RNA, 774 nt
Filed under: Homo sapiens (human)
Lineage: Eukaryota; Metazoa; Chordata; Mammalia; Primates; Hominidae
Description: LNC_000766
Source: RNAcentral